Oreochromis aureus is the source of this 3941-nucleotide long non-coding RNA. NCBI's taxonomy places the organism in Eukaryota, Metazoa, Chordata, Actinopteri, Cichliformes, Cichlidae. The record is from Ensembl.
GCUUUUUAUUGAGAAUAUGUAUUACUAUAAACCUUAUUAUAAUAAAGAAUGUUUUGGCUGACACUAAUGUGGUAAAAGAAAGCAAAGGGUUUGGACAUUUCCCCUUCUUCUUCUUCUUGUUUAUGUUGUUCUUCUCCCACUAUCUGUUUCUCCUGUGUAAAAUGACCACCAGACCCAUUUGACUGGGGACCCAAGGGGGAGACAGGUGUAGAUGCUGGCCCAGCUUUGCUCUCUUUGGUCGGGGUAAGUGCGGGUUGGUGCUCCUUUCCUCUCUCCAGCCUCUCAAACUCAGUGCAAACCAACUCAACCGUCUCAAAGGGUUUUGGGGUUAAUUUGCAUUUGAGAAGCAUUUCAGUGAUUCAUUCUGACUCUGUAAAAUUAAAAGUUAAAACAAAAGGAUUUUUCUUGUAGAAAUGAUGUUUUGGCACAGUGAGAGCUGGGGAGAGGCACACAGAUAGAAUGGCCUGGGUGCAUUUUGAUCUGUGGAGCAGUCCUGUUUCCUUGGGCGAGGGGGGUUUGAUGGGUGUGUGUCUGGUCUGGUCUGGUCUGGUAUCUCUCCCCUGCUGUACCAAAUUCUCCCUCUCCGUGUGUCUCUGUGUCCUCUCUGCUCUCAGACCUGCAUGUGUGAUAAUCUGUAACUCUGCCGCACAAACAAACAAACAAGCCCCACGUCAGUCCAGCUCUUGACUAACUAUCUCAACUGAAAUAGGUCACUGUGCCGCCUGGAACGGCCGGGGUGCAGCCGUGCGUGAGCGUGGCGGCGUGAGCCAUGGGGACGACUUUUAGCGCGACGCCAACGCAGCGGGAACUCGUUCUCUCUCUCUCUUCACCACCAAGACUUCCCAGAACCACCCACCUAAACCCAAACUACCCACCCACCCUCCUUUUGUUACCGUAGUGGCCUGGGCGUGCCAACGGACAGUGUAUGUGUGGUGGCUCGCCGCUGGACUCAGUAACACGACACAGAGAGACUUCAGUGUUGGACGAGCCGCUUUGCUGAAACUGUUGAAUGAUGGGUUUGCGCCACACAGCUGUGGAAGGGAUCGUAACUCCCAUAAGACCUUAGCGCCAUCACAAAACGAGAUAAACCAACAGGGGGUUUGUCUUGGGUCCCUCACAGCCUGUGUGCCAAUCAGAAACGUCCUAUAAGAUCGGCCGAGCUAAUGAGGCCAGUCUGACCUGUAGAUUCUCACCAAUCUCAGGACUCCUGUAGGACUUUUCUGGUACGGCAGCUCUGUUUCUCUAAUCCUGGUGUCAGCUGGACCGGCUGGAUAUGUGCUAUGAGUGACUUGUAUGAGGUGUGGCUAUUAAAUAAUGAGACGUCACGCCGGUUUGACUCACAGAGGCUCUGUUUUGUUGUUUAACAGCCACGCCUCGUCUGCAUUCUUACCUGUUAAGACUAUUGAUGCACACACACAGUCCCGCACACACUCGCUGUAUGUCAGAUGAGUUUGUCUCGCAUUUGCUCUGACCGCUGCGAGACGGAGUCGAGACAAGCGUGGCGCUGCCUUUCUGUCCGCCUAACAAACUAAAAGGAGGUGGGGAGGAUUGAGUAACUUGUAAGGUGAGUUGGUAGUGGAAGGAUCCUUUGGCCCAAAGCUGCUCUCUAACCUCACCUUUCUGAUCUUGGAGCAUCCCAUAAUAGAGUCACUGGCCAGAACCUUACCCCAAGAAAACAUUGUCGCGCUCAGUGUCUGUGCUAAUAAUAACGAGCCCUUGAAUCUGUCUCUGUUGCUUGGAUACAAAGUGCAAAAAUCCAGUUAAACUGAUUUUUUGCAUUCACAGACUCAUUAAGUUUUUUAAUCAUCUGAGAGCACCCGUGUGGAUGCACAUAGAGGCACACAGAGGCCAGUAUUAUUUCUCUCCAAAGGACCGCUGUGUAGGAUUUAGUGUUUGAGGACUGGACGUGUAGUGCAGGAUCCAUAGUCCUACAUUAGUGCACAUUUGCCUAGAGAGAAGGAUUGUGGGUAUUCGAUCGAUGCAGAGACCAUGUGUAGAUGUGGUGAAAGACCGAAAAGCACAUAUCCUGAUAUCCUUAAUGCUGAUUGGCUGAAAAACUGUCUCGAACAGGAAAGGGGGUAAUAGUACAGCUCACCACAAAGAGGAACAAGUGUGUCCGUUUUCAUUGCUUUCAAUCACUCGGUUUCACUUUACUACAAAGGACCAACUAAAGCACAAAAACAAGGGUAGCCUGUGUCACUAAAUGCUGCACACAUUUACAACCAGGCUGCCAUGGCAACAGCACACGACUGCGGCGUGAAGUUGUGAGUCUGCAGACCUCAGCGUAGCACAGACUAGAGAAAAUAUGAAGGGCUCUUUACACUAAUGAAAACAAACACAACUAUGAAUAUAGUCACAGGAGAUGCCCCCCCUCCCUGAGCAUGGUCCUGCUGGAGGUUUCUUCCUGUUAAAAGGGAGUUUUUCCUUCCCACUGUCGCCAAGUGCUUGCUCAAAGAGGGUCGUCUGAUCAUCUGUUAAUGUAGGGUCUUUGCCUUCCAAUAUAAAGCACCUAGAGGUGACUGCUGUUGUGAUUUGGCGCUAUAUCAAUAAAAUUGAACUGAGUACUGUAUUCUGUUUCCACGAGUAAAUCCUACACACUGGUCCUUUAAGCAGUGCAGCUGAUGAAACCCCUCCUCAGCCUCCAUGAUCAGGGCACACGGUGCUCCAGUUUUUUUCCCCCUCCAGCCACCUCACCCCUCCCCUCCAACUCUGCCGGCUCCUCACUAAAAAGGCUUCUUCUGGUGCUUGUGAGUCUAGGCUUCCCGUGCUUGGGUGAAUGCAGCCACACAUCUCUUAAACACCCCCGACCCCCCCCCGCGCACCCUCUCUUGCUCUGAAUUCACCGACAGACAGAGCUGCAGCCUCCUCUCUACUUCCACUUCCUCACCCAAACUCCCCCUGCCUUCUGUGGUUUGGACAGCUGAAGAACUGAGAUACCCUGCACACACACAGACACACACUUAUAUAUAUAUAUAUUUGUGUAUUGUGUUGUUUUUUUCAUGGGAUCCCACAGGGUACAGCAGACACCGGCAGAGAUGUACAUCGGGAACAGAACCCACUCCGGCUUAGGUUUGAGCCCAGCCCUCACACUGUAGACCGUAUUGCCUUUUUCAGUUGAAGCAGGUUUCAUUAACGUGAUUUUUCUAGGUCAUCUAGCACAGAUGUGAAUUACAGAAUCACACUUCUAAUGAUGCUUAUCCUCUCUUCAGAUAAAGGCAUCAGGAGUGUCUUAUCUCACACGUUACCUCGUAUAGAGGGGGGCAGACAGCAUGUGAACGCCAGCAGGAUGCAGUGCAGCUCAAUACAAAAAUCACUGCAGUUAUGAGGUUUUUUCCCAUCAUAACUGCAGUAAUAGUGUGUUGGCUGGCAUUAGAGUGAAAGGCAUUUAUGUUAUUUUGUCCACCCUUCUGCCCUUAUAUGAUUACAGGCCACCUGAGGCCAAGCCCGUCUUUUUUUCCUCCCUCUCCACAGACCAUUUCAUUGUCAGCAGUCCCGCGGUGGCAUUAUGUUUAGCCAUUUCAGUUCCCUCGGCUCAGCGGCUGCUCAGUCACAAACCUAAUUGUAACCACAAAUAGUCGCGCAGUAGCUAAGCUUCUUCAAGUAGGUUAAUGGACCAAGCUUAGUGUAGUUAAACGAAACGCCUCAAUUAAUUACAAUAUUAAUCGUUCUAGUUUCCAAAGACGUCAGGGGUGACAGAACAAUGUGUCAUCUCAAGAGGAGAGCAAUCGGGAUCUGCUCCUUUUUCAAAGAAAUCGAAUCCAGCACAACGCUGAACGAUGAGGGGAUUUUUACACCGUGAAUGUCGGAUCAAACGUUUGCGUCAACAUGUUUACUGUGAAUGACAAAUCCUGAUAUGAAGACAAUUAUACUGUAUGGUUGUGUGUGCAUAUAUUUAUGCCUUUUAGUCUGUAUUUCUUAAGAUGUUGAGGUAUUUUUUUCAG